AUUGAACGCUGGCGGCAUGCCUUACACAUGCAAGUCGAACGGUAACAGGUCUUCGGAUGCUGACGAGUGGCGGACGGGUGAGUAAUACAUCGGAACGUGCCUAGUAGUGGGGGGUAACUACUCGAAAGAGUGGCUAAUACCGCAUGAGAUCUACGGAUGAAAGCAGGGGAUCGCAAGACCUUGUGCUACUAGAGCGGCCGAUGGCAGAUUAGGUAGUUGGUGGGAUAAAAGCUUACCAAGCCGACGAUCUGUAGCUGGUCUGAGAGGACGAUCAGCCACACUGGGACUGGGACACGGCCCAGACUCCUACGGGAGGCAGCAGUGGGGAAUUUUGGACAAUGGGCGCAAGCCUGAUCCAGCAAUGCCGCGUGCAGGAUGAAGGCCUUCGGGUUGUAAACUGCUUUUGUACGGAACGAAAAGCCCCGGGUUAAUACCCUGGGGUCAUGACGGUACCGUAAGAAUAAGCACCGGCUAACUACGUGCCAGCCGCCGCAGUAA
This 498-nucleotide ribosomal RNA is filed under the name uncultured bacterium. Its description in RNAcentral is "partial 16S ribosomal RNA". It matches the Rfam family "Bacterial small subunit ribosomal RNA", at positions 30 to 523 of the family's 1533-position model. The record is from RNAcentral.